This is a long non-coding RNA of Peromyscus eremicus (cactus mouse), 1550 nucleotides long. RefSeq lists it as uncharacterized. The transcript is spliced from 3 exons. Lineage: Eukaryota; Metazoa; Chordata; Mammalia; Rodentia; Cricetidae. The record is from RefSeq and is a predicted model, not a curated record.
CUUGAGUUCCGGGAGGCCAGGACCGGUCCUGCCUGCCACGAUCUGUGCCCCCAAAGGGGCUCCCAGCCCAAUGUCAGAAGCUGCCUUGCAAUUCUGAGCCAUUUUUCAACUUGUGUGCUUUAAGUGAGUUCUGGGGACUGAACUCAAGCAUUCUAGUCAUGUGCUGUACCAUGGACCUAUGGCCCACCUCUGUGUUAUAUUUUUAAGUGAAGAAGCCUUGUGCAGUUUGGGAAAGCAAUACAACAUAGUGGUUUAGUGCAUGCAGCCAGACUGAUGGAUGGAAUCUACUCAUUUUAAGACAUCGGAAAGGUUGUUGGACUUUGAUUAAGUACCUUGAUAUGUGAAUGAAGGUAGGGGCAAAGGAAUGAGAAAGUUUGAUACACUCAGGCUGGCUGAAGGUAAGAGUUGGGGGAAGGGGGAUUUAGAGGGAGCGGCGCAACUGUCCCACACCCUGGUAUGGCUGAGCACUGGUUUGCCCUUGCUCCCAUGUGGAUGGAUAGCCAAUGUCAGUGGUUCCUCUAAAGAAUGUAUCCUUCUAAUAUCAUAGAGGUUCGGAGGAAAGGAGUCAUGGGAGCAAGGGACCCCAAAAUGAAAAUCUUAUUCUCAGGCAUUAGAGGGCCGUCCUUCUGUCCAUGCACAGACAGAAUUUAGCAACUGCCACACGGUGGCAGCAACAUCUCUGGCUGUUUAGCCUGGUGGGUGAUGGCUCAGUUUCUUCUCCUUUUCUUCCCUUCAUCCCUUCAGAACAAGUCCUUCUUUGGGAACUGAGGGGCACCAGAGUAUGUAUUUCAAUGAAUUUUCUUAUUGUUUCUCUUUACCUAAGUUAUAAAGUCUUGGAAACAUCAUCUCAGGUACUUUUAUCACCUUUUCUUAAAAGCUCAUAUUUUAAAUCUAACUCAUUAGAUCUGUGAAGCUGGUGGUUGUGCCACAGGGUUGUGGGGACAAGGGAGGUGACCAGAUGUUCUAAUUGAGUCUGCCAGUCUUGCUUCUGGCAGUGGUCAGGUGCCCUGGAAGAAGUCCCAGGCAGGCUCCACUGUGCCCCUUAUCUGAACCGAGCUUAUGAACUGGCCUACUUCCAGAGGAGAAUGGCCAGAGAAGAGAGGGAUCUGGAAACCAGAAGUGACAGGGAUACUCGGAAGGGAAGGGAACAUUUGCAGAGGAGAAAUGAUGUGACAGCUUCAUUUAAAUAUUGAAGGGCUGCUGUCACUGAGAGGAGUUUAGAAUCCGUUUGCUUGAAUAUUAGCUUUGGAAGGGAUCUUAAAAAUCCCAUAAAACACUCUUCAUUUUAUAGGAAGAAAAAAAAAGGCCAAGAAAGUGACACUUGUUCAUUGUUACAGGAUUAGCUGGUAGCUGACAGAGCUGAGUCCACAACACAGGUCUUUUGGCUACACCCAGAUACGUUCACCAUUCAGGCUGUGAGCUAUAAGGAUGGGUGAGGUGAGGAAGGAGGGUGGCAGCCUCUAGUGAGGGUUGAAGCAGCAGUUGCAUGUACAGGGAAUUUCUGAAUCACACUGAGGGCCAGCCACAGCCUAGCCACUAGAAAACCCAUU